CCUGGUACUCUAUACAGCGCCCCACUUCCGACAUAGUGUUUAACGCAAGGCAAAAGCAGCGGAAGUAAAAGAAAAAAUGUCGCUAAUUCGGUUUUGAACUGGAAACAUAAUAAAUAGGUAACAACAGCUGCACACGAAUUUCUUUUUCCCAAUUGCUUCAAAAGAAAUUUACCUAUCGCUAUAAGACAUUUCACAGAAGGUAAUCGUUCCGGAAGCUAAAUAUUAUCGCAAAGAACGUGAUGGAAACGAAAAGUGUAAUCAUUCAAAGUUAUGUUCUCGAUGGUGGAGAUUGUUGACAGUUGUUUGUAGUGGAAUAGGAAUGCUAACCUCACUUCGAAAGCACUCAUGAUGAUUUGACGUUCGAAACGUCAAAUAAAAUGGCUCAUUCAGUUCGAUGAGCGUGUGCUUCGUUAUGAUUCCGAGGGUCACUCGCUACUGAAGUUGCCCUAAGGGCCUGCACCUUGGACAUAUUCAGCAGGUUUUUCUUAUGUAAAAAAUCGAACAGUUUUGUUUCAAAACUUGAAACUGAUAUACAAGCCCUGUUUUUGGACAAAAUUGAAACAAAAUUUUAGGGCACCAUCAAUAAGGGCAUUUCCAAUAAUGUUCCGAUUUCAGUUUUUUUUUAUUUUAAAACAGGUUUCAAAAUUUAAAUCAAACAUUUGGAAAUUUCUCCAGGAGCUGUUAAGUGGACAUUCACCACAUUCUUCUACAUGUUUCACUGGGAAUCCAGAAGCUUUGUAAGAAAUUCCUCUAAGAUUUCCACUGGAAAUUCAUCUAGGAGUUCCACUAGGGAUUCUUUCUGACGUGUAUCCGCAAAUUUCACUAGAAAGGAGUGUUUUUUUCGGGGAUUUUUCUAGAAGGUCAAUUGGGAAUUCUUCUGAGAGUUCCAACGCGAAUCCCUUCAAGAUGUUCCCCCCAGAGUUUUUCCAGUAGUUUCUCCGGGGAUUUCCCCAAGAGCUUUAUUACGAAUUCUUCUAGGAGUUCUUUCGGAGAAAUUCCUCUGGAAGUUCCAUCUCUUGAAGAUUCAUCGGAAAUGCCUCUUGCAGUUCCAUUGGUCAAUCCUCUAGGAGUUUCAUUGGGAAUCCCUCAAUGAGUUCCACUAGAAAUGUCGCUAGGCUAGGUACAUAACUGAGAAUUCUUCUCGGAAUACCACUGGGAGUUCCUCUAACGAAUUCUUUCCUGUGAAAAUUCCUGGAUUUUUCAGGGAUAUUUCCUUCGGAUUCAUUCAUUGAUUUCUCAUACGAUUCCAUCGGGGAUUGCUUCCUGGUUUUCUUUAGAGAUUCCUUCCGGGAUUCCUCCCAGGACUCUUUCUGGAAUUUCUGUUGGAACUCCUCACGAGAUUUCUUUAGGGAUUUCUCUCGGAAACCCACCAAGGGUUAUCCCGGGGUUCCUACAUUAUUUUUUUCUUGGGAUUCCCCCAUGGAUUCCUUCAGGGGUUCUUCCAGGUUUUUUUUUGAAGUUCUCUCUUGGGAUUCAUUCAGAAAUUCCCCUGAUAUUCUUUCGAAAUUCUUGCAGGGAACACUUCCAGAUUUCUUUAGAAUUUACUUUAGAGAAUUCCUCAGAUUUUCCUUUUGGGAUUUCCACCGAGAUUUUUUUUUUUCAUGAAUUUCUUCCGGCACUCUUCCAGGUAUUCUCGCUAUUCAUUUAGGUAUUCCUACAUAGAUUUCUCCCUCGAGUUUUGUAUUGAUUAUUCACGGAAUUCCUGAAGGGAUUUCGUUCAGGAUCCUCUCAGGAAUUUCUCCCAAGAUUCUUCCAGGAAAUCUUGAGAUUUUUUGAUAACUUCUCCAGAAAUCUUUUCAAGAUUCCUUCAUGGAGAGUUCCCGGGAUUCCUUCCUAGGUUUCUUGAGGGAUUCCUUCAGAAUGCUUCCAGAGAUUUCUCUUUAAAUUCUUUAAUAGAUUGCUCCCGGGAGUGACCACUGAAAAACCUGUAGAUUACGAAGUUCUUAAUUUAAAGUUUUUUGAUGACCGUGAAUAUCUGGCAAUUUCAUCGGAGUGGUUCAAAACGCGAGAAUUACUACCGUUUGAUCAAACUGGAUAUCCUUCUUUGCAACAACAGUUGUCAUUUUGAGCGAUCUAGAUCGUGAUACAUGCAACGCCCUUAAUCAAGGCUCAUUACAGCACUAGGGCCAAGUAGUGGUCCAGAUCACGAGAUAUACGACGUUUAGACUGCUCUGGAAGCUCCUUAGAGAUAUACGUCAUUCAGACUGAACUGGAAGCUACUAAGAACACUAGCGCCACACAGUGAGUGAUUCUCGAACUAAAUUAUUUUCCAUGCGAAAGCUCUUAGGCGUCUGAGCAACUUUGCCGAAGACAGAAUCGUUCUAAGUGGUCCAGAAAGCGGGAUAUAUGACGUUCAGACUGAACUGGAAGCUCAUAAGAACACUAACGCCAGCAUCAGUGGGUAAUUUUCGAACUAAAUUAUUUUCUACGCGAAAGAUUUUAGUCUUCUAAGUAACUUUGCCGAAGACAGUAUCCAUCUAAGUGGUCAAGAACACGAGAUAUACGACGUUAAGACUGAACUGGAAGCUCAUAGGAACACUAGCGCCAUGCAGCGAGUGAUUUUCGAACUAAAUUGUUUUGUAUGCGAAAGCUUCUAGUGUUCUGAGCAACUUUGUCGAAGACAGUAUCCUUCUAAAUGUACCAGAACACGAGAUAUACAACGUUCAGACUGAACUGGAAGAUCCUAAGAACACUAGCGUCAGCAGUGAGUGAUUUUCGAACUAAAUUGUUUUCUGUGCGGAAGAUUUUAGUCUUCUGGGCAACAUUGCCGAGGACAGUAUCCUUCUAAGUGGUCCAGAACACGAGAUAUACGACGUUAAGACUGAACUGGAAGCUCAUAUGAACACUAGCGCCAUGCAAUGAGUGAUUUUCGAACUAAAUUGUUUUCUAUGCGAAAGCUUUUAGUGUUCUGAGCAACUUUGCCGAAGACAGUAUCCUCCUAGGUGGUCCAGAACACGAGAUAUUCAACAACUACUUUCAAAAUGUAGUGCUCUUCCACAUGUCCGAUAUGGUGCCCUGUGUAGCAGCUUCCCGGUGACCAAUAUUCUCGGAACCACAAUUUCAACAUAUCAACACAUUCUUGACGAAAUUAUCUAUCAAAUAGGACUUUGGUCAUUUGAAUUGGAGUUUGAUUUUCUGGGUCAUAAUGACCCCAAUGCAUUCGUAACUUUUUUUAAUGCCCGAAGAAGGUUAAUCAAUUGACAUUCAUCCGGACCCAAUUGGAAGAUUAUCAUCCAGCGCAGUGGUAAGUGACAUAAUUUAUGCGUCGGAGCGACUGAUAACGUGCGUUAGGCUGCUCAGCCGAUUCGCAAAGAAAGAGUAUGGUGAGAGUUUUCAACGUAUCCAGGCGUUUGGCAUGCUACCGACUGUACCUUGUACCGUUGGGUUAAAGAACAUUGUGGAGUGGAAAAAUGACAAUUUAGAAGAACGCUCGACCACAUUUCUGGUGAAGUUAUAGAAAGUGGGAAAGUAAUUUAGUGGCACCAAACAUCACAUUAUGCACAUUUAGCGUGCCUGUCUGGGUCAUAUUGACCCCAACAUCUAACAAAGGUUAACAGUAAGUAUUUCAACGAGGGUAAGCCAGCUUUAUGGAGGAAAAUUUUUAAAUAAAGUUGCAAAACUGCUCUCAGAAACCUCAGAAACUUGUAUAGAAAAUCCUCUCAAUGAGGUCUGCAAAAACUUUUUGGAAAUGUUUUUCGUUGAUCUCCUGAAAAGUUUGUAAAAAAAAGGCAGGAGAAGCUUCGAACCGCCCCCUAGAUUUCUGAAGAGACUUGUCAAUGUCAGACAAUACUUCUCGAUAAUGAUAAAGUUUCUCAGAAAACCUUGGAAUAGCUUCUCACAGAAAUCUGGAAAUGAAACUGGCAGAAGCACUAAAAAAUGCUAGAGAAACCUUCCCACAGAAGAAUAAGAAACCUUUCCACAGAGAGGCCCGAGAAAGUUUCUCAUCGAAGCCUUAAAAAGCUUCUCAUAGAUGGAAAUGGAUUCUCAUAGAAGGCCGCCAAAAAUUUCUUACAGUAACCUGGAGAAGCUUCUUAUAAAGCAUCACAAAAAAAACUUGACACAGCUUCUUAUAGGUGUAAAUGUAUUGCGUAACUCACUGGAUCAAUCCGUUCCCAGCCAUAUUAGCGAACUACAGUAUAAUCACUUGGCAUAAUACGGAACCUCACGAUGAGGGCGACAUGCUCCACCAAAUCUCCCCUCCUCAAUGAGGCAGCAUCACCCUGACAACCUCGUUAUGGUGCUGGCUGUCACUGAUGAUUGCUAGGGGAAGGACAAACAAGGGAAUUGACACAAUUCACACCCCGUAAUAGAAACCGAAAAAAAGAAUCACAAAAACCUAGAAAUAUUAGAAGGCCACUCCAGAGGUACGUUCUACUCCAUUCGGCCAUCCUUGAUGCCUGAGUAUGCAAAAAAAACUGUCAUUAGAAGGAGAAGCUCUCAGUUAUUUACUAUAUGGAGGUUUUCAUAGACACUAGUUGAAAAGUAGGCUUUGUUCCAGUGAGACGUUAAGCUAAAAAGAAGAGAAGAAAAAGAAGACCUAGCAGAUUUGGAAGGAUUUGACUUGUUUCUGAAUGGCUUCAUGGUUUACAGCGAAGACGAAGAAAAAAAAUCAGCUCUAACUGGAGUCUGGAGAAAUGGCUGGGCUGGGCUGGGCUGAUGGGAUUGGAUCUUAAAGGAUUUUCCAAGAUUUUUUUUUCUAGAAAUUCAUUACAAAAUUUUCCAAACCAUUUUUCCAAAAUCCAUCAGAUUUUUUUUUUCAAAGAUACUCUUUUGGAUUCCUGGAAAAGCUCCUCCAGAAGUUUCUUUACGAAUUUUGUUAGAAAUUCCUCCAGGAUUCCUCCAAAAAUUCUUCCAAACAUUGCUUUAGCAGUUCUUAUAAAGAUUCCUCCAGGAACUCCUCCAAAAGUUUCUCUUAAAAUUUUGCAUCCAUGAUGUUUUUCAGUGAGAUUUGCAUCAACGCUCCGGGAAUUCAGUCAAAGAUCUCUUCAAGAACACCUGUACACUAGUAUUUCUCCAGAAUGUCUACCACGGACCAAGGCUCCUCUGAGAUUUCCUCCAUAAAAUUUUCCAUGGUUUCUCUGAAAAUUCGUACAGGGAUCUCUUGAGAUACAUUUGCAUUGAUUAUUUCAAAGAUUCCCGCAAAUAUUGAUUUUCAUUCGAAUUCCUCCAGAAAUUUCUCCAAAUUUCAUCUUCAAAAUCCAACAGAAUGUCUUUCAAGAUCUUUCAUGAAUCCAGGGAAACUUGCAAAGAUCCAUUCAGGCAAUCUUCCAGGAAAUUUCAAGAAAAAUAUUUUAAAUAUUUAUCUGAGAAACUCGGAGAUGAAAAAAUGAUUUGUGGAGAAUUUGUUAAAAAAAAAAUACGGGAAAUUAUUAGAAAAUUUUCUGCACCAUUCUUGAAAUAAUUCCUGGAGGAAUCCGUGGCAGAAUUCCCAAAAAAAUCUUUACAAAAAUUCCUUGACAAAACCAUAAAAGAGUUUUGAAAGAAUCCAACUGGAGGGAAAGUACGAAUAAUUGGUGGUGAAAUCUAAGAAGAAACAAACUCCGGGGUCGGAGGAAUCUGUGGAGGAAUUUUAAGAAAAAUCCUCAAAGAAAUUCAGAAGAAAAUAUAAGAAGAAUUUCUGCAGAAGUUCUUGGACUCGGAAGAAGUUCUUGACAAAUCUUUGGAAGAUUUUUUGGGGAAACUAUGAACAACCAAAAAACAAACCUUUUAAUGGAGGGAGACAUGGAAAAAUUUCUCAAGAAAUUUGCGGAAGAAUUGUUGAAGUGAAUCAUGAAAUACUUCCAAAAAAACAAAACCAUCAUAGAACACCUGGAGAUAUCAUAGGAAUAAAAUGUAUAAUUUUUUUUGUAGAAUCCUCUGGAAUAAUUUCUUCCGAAAUGUUUGGAACAAUUCCUGGUAUAAAUCUUGGCGGAAAAAUCCUGUACACAUCAACGGAAGAAAUCCUCGGAAAUUUCCGAAAAAAAAUCUUGAAGUAUUCAUUUAGAAAUAAAUUGAAAUUCUUGCGUAAACCAUAAAUACUCCCAGCAGAGAGUAAGAGUGAAUACUGCGAGAGUGGUUCGGAUGCAUGCUGCAGCAGAUGUGGUGAAUAAAAAAGUUAUCUAUAUCACAGUGCGUUCGUAAGACUUAUUUAUAUCCAUUGAGAAGGUUCCUUUAUGGAACAGCCUUUUUCGUCAUGCUUAAAAUAUGAUAACCAAUUUUUGUAGGUUAUUACAGAUAUGUUUGGAAAUAUUCGUAAAAAUACAUUGAAUUUUCUUAAAGAAAUCUGUGAAAGAAUUAGAAGAAUUCCUGGAUAAAUCCAAGGAUAAAUCCUUAAAAGAAUUCCUGGGAAAAGAUUUGAAGGAAAUCUUGCAGGAAUCAUUGGAAGAAUUUAUGGAGUGAAUCCUCGAAGAGUUUCUGGAGAUAUUUUUGGAAGAAUUUCUGAAGUAAUCCUUACAAGAAUUUUAAGGAAGUACUCAUGGAAGAAUUCCUGGAUAAAUCCUUCUGGAGUAAAAGAACUUCUGAAGGAAUCCUUGGAAGAAUUUCUGGAGUAAUACUUGAAAGAAUUCCUUGAUUAGGUUCUUCUGGAAGAACUUCUGGAGGAAUCCUUGGAAGAAUUAUUGGACAAAUCCUAGGAAGAAUUUUGAAGGAAUCUUUGAAAAUGUUUUCAAAGGAAUCCUCGGAAUCAUUCCAAAAGGAGUUUUAGGAAGAAUUCCUGGAAAAAAAAUUGCAAGAAUUUCUAGACUAAUCCUCAAAAAAAAAUCCUAGAGGAACUUUUGGAAGAAAUUUUGAGAAAUUUUUGGAAGAGGUAACUUGAAAACAUUUUUGGAGAAAUCCUAGAAACAUUUCUUUUUGAUAUGUUUGGAAGAAUUCUAGAAGAAGUCUUCAAAGAAUUUUUAGAGAAUUCGCUGGACAAAAUCCUGCAGGAAUCCUUUGGAAGAAUUUUUGAAAGAAUCCUUAGAAGAAUAACUGGAAGAAUCCUUCUGUAGCAUUUCUUGGAAGAAUUCUUGGAGGAAUCCUAACAAGAACUUUGAAGGAAUCUUUUCAGAGAAUUCCAUACAAUAAUUUUUAUGGAGGAAUCUUUGAAAGAAAUUCUUGGAGAAAACUUGAAAGUAUUCCAAGACUAAUCCUUGGAAGAAUUCCUGGAGAAACUCUUGGAAGAAUUUCUGAAGGAAUAGGGGAAAUUACCUAUUCUCGGCCGUUUUGUUCUCUUCGUCUUUGGGGUUUUUUUUUUAAACCUAUUGAACUCAGAGUUGGUCUCAAAUCCUUCCCAACUAAGCUGAAUUAUAUAGCCAAGUUUCAGGCAAUUUGGCUGACAAAAACCCCCCAUGACGAAGAGAACAAACCUGCCGAUAAUACCCAUUGUCACCCUACUUGGAAUUCAUGAAAAAAUUCUUGGAAAAAUAUCUGGAAGAAUCUUUUGACGAAUUCCUGGAGGAAGAGAGGAGGAGGAGACAAAUUCCUGGAGAAAGAAGAGUUUCUGGAGAUACCUUAGGAAGAAUUUCUGGAAUAAACAAUGAAAGAAUUCAUGCAGGAACUAAUGGAAGAAUUCCUGGAUGAAUCCUUGACAAUCUUUGGAAUAAUUCGUGGGGGAAUCCUUGGAAGAAUUUCUGGAGUAAUUCUUCAAAGAAUUCCUGGAUGAUCUCUCGGAAGAAUUUCUGGAGUAAUGCUUGGAAGAAUUCCUGAAGGAAUUCUUCUAAAAAAAUCUUUGGAAGAAUUUCAUAAGAAUUAUUGCAGGAAUCCUUGGAAGAAUUUUGAAGGAAUCUAUGAAUGUUUAGAUUAAUGCUUGGAAUAAGGAGAAGUGUUUGGAAGAAUUGCUGGAGGAAAACUAAGACUAAUCCUUGAAAGAAUACCUGGAGGAACUCUUGGAAGAAUUUCUGAAGGAGUGUUUAGAAAAAUUCUUCGAGGAGCUCAUGGAAACAUUUCUGGAGAAAUCCUUGAAAGAAUUCCUUCUCGAGACCAACUCCAGAAACACGUUCUUCUCCACUCGGAAAAUUCGCACUACCCUUGCCUUGAUACCUGUGAAAGCUUCUUACAAAUGUUUGAGGAAAUUUAAUUAAAAUUCUAGAAAAAACAUCAACAAUGCAUAAAAAAGCUUUUGCAACAACUUUUAAUGCUUCUCACAAGGACUAUAAAAAAAUCUUACUGAAUCCUGGUGAAAAAUGAAAAGUUUCCUUCAAAUAAAGUGACUUUUUCGGUAGGUUUUGUUCUCUUGGUCAUGAAAGUUUUUGAGAACAUCCCUUGUCAAAGAGGAGAAAUCUGCUGAAAAUACACUAAAUUCUCAUAUAUGGAGAAGUUUUUCUAGCAAAAUUCUGCUCAUUAUCUUACAUACAGAUCUCUUCAUGAAACUCUAAUGAUAACGCUGACACCUUUCGCGAGAAAACUUUCAAUAUCUGUUUAGUAAAUACAUGAAAAGAUUUCGGUACUCUGUUCAAUUAGAAGUAUUAAUAUAGUGGAACAAGCUCACCUGUUUGGAUCUGUUUUGACUUCCAUCAGCUGUAAUGCUUCAUGCUGGAACGAGAAAAAACUCCGUUGAAACUGCUUUCUUUAGUGUGGAAAUGUUUCUUACAGAAGUUUGACAAAGAAUUUUCAUUAAAAUGCAAAAAAAAACUUCUCGAAUAAGCCUGGAAACGUUUCGUAUUGCAGUACGAAAUAGCUGCUCACGAAAUUCUGAAGAAGUAUACAAUAACCUGCAUAUAGGAAUGCUACCCGCAGGACAUCCAAAAACCUUGGGAGCGGCCUGGUGUGAUGGUUAAAGCACGUGACUGUCACGCUGAGGACCUGGGAUCGAAUCCCUCUCCCGACAAACUCACAAAAUGUGAGUUCUUCCUUCGGAAGGGAAGUAAGACGUGGGUCCCAAGAUGAACUAGCCUAGGGCUAAAAAUCUCGUUAUAACAGAUUUAAAAAAUAUCCAAAAACCUUCUCACAGAAGCGUGGGAAGUUUUGCUUACCAACUCGAAAAUGUUUUCACAGAAUGCUAGAGAAGAUUUACACAGAAAUGACAUUAAUAUAAUGGGAAGUGCUGCCAGAAUAUCUCUGAACAACUCUUUAUCGCUCCCACAGAUCGUCAUGAAAAUAACCUUAGCCUAAAAGCAACUGGAACAACUCUCCAUUGAGCAGUGUUUGCAGCUCCGUUGGUCUAGCAAUGUAGAAUCCAAGUGUCAAUUCAUUAUGAAAUCUAUAAAGUACCAUCGGCCUGAGUCCAAGUGAACCAAUUAGACAAAACGAAGGUUCCAUUUACAAAAGUUUAGCUAAAACAGUUCAUACGUUUGUUCAUACAGGCAGACAAACAUACUCACAAGCAUGCUAAUACAAAAAUCAUAUUCAUAGCGCGUUCUUUAAACCAAAACUACUUAAAUUCGUUUGGAUUUUUUAACUCGGUUCGCUUUAGGAAACUUUUCCCCCGAAUAAUGGAAACCCCUAAGUACUAACACUCCUUCCCUUAACUUACUCAUCAUCGUUAAUAAGUGUCCAAAGUUCAAAAAACGGAAUAUCAGAGUCGGAACGACUUCGUUGUUAGUAAAUCCCCACAUACACACACAUUCAUGUGUGGAAAAAACGUGCAUAUGAAUCAAAAAAAAAGAAAAAAAACACGGAAACCCACUAUUAAUUCUAGCCGAAAAAAUUUUUAGAAUCGUACUGUUGUUACUAUUAUUAUCGGAAUAUUAUUACACCAUUUACCAUUUUCCAUUGACUCGUGCAGCUUACACAAAGAGACACAUAUACACAAACACACACCCAUACCCACAUGGAUAUAAGCGUGUUGAAAACAAGUGAGUAGCAGAAACAUACCGAAGAGCAUUUUGUAAAUACAUUUCUCGUUCGUUAUUCGUUGAUAGGGAAAAUUCGAUAGAAACUAUACUUAAUCAAAUGGGUAUCAAAUGCUAAAACACAAAAAAAAGUGAAACGACACCGUUUUGAAGUGACAGUUUCUGUCAGGUUUUAUAGGUUAUGAUUGACACGAUUGAAUUUUGUGUUUUGCUGUGUAUAGGAAACAAUCUGUGAAACACUAAACAAAAGAGUAUGGAUUUGUUGUGCUUGAGAGGGGCAGACUAGUUUUUUUUUCUCAAAGUUAGGAGUUUAUGGUCUGAAUUAGCUGUUCCUUCCGUUGUUGUUUCUUCGGAAGUGUGUAAAUAGAACAUAAGGUAUCACGAUAUUCGUUAGUGCCCGUUUGUAACCGUUACGUUAAACGACGCAGUUCACUCACCUUCAAUACCGCUACAUGGAUUCUUCCCGCACUACAUUUACAUUUUUCUUAAGAAAAGACAUUACAGCAACAUUGUACUCGCUCUAGAAAAUACCAAAAUUUGUUUGCAUCGUCGUCGUCGUCGAAUAUUGCACUCGCACAACGCUAGUGAAUCACACGCGAUCACUCGCUCAAAAACAAUGGAAACGAUCUGAAAACCUCGUCGAAAUGCAAUGUAAACAAACCAACGUCAACGAAAGCCCGAAGCUCUCUACUAGCGCCGUCGCAGCAGUCAGGUGUCUCUCAUUCGGGAGAAGGAAAAAAAUUCUCUCUCUUGAACCAUCGUUUUCGCUCGCUCUCUAUUCGCCAAUGUCUCGCAACACACUGUCGUAACCAGAGCGUUCAUGAUUAAUAAAAAUUUUAAUCAUGAUUAAUCAUUGAUGAUUAAAAUUCCAAUUUUGGUGAUUACUGAUUAUGAUUAAUGAUUAAUUUGCUUUUUAGGACGAUUAAAGAUUAUGAUUAAUGAUUAAAUUUGGUUUUAUCUGUGAUUAUUGAUUAUGAUUAAUGAUUAAAAAUGGCUCAUUGAUUAAAAAUCAUGAUUAAUCAUGAUUAAUCAAUCACAAAAAACUGGAAAUGAUUAAAAUAUAUUUAUUGUUGAACGUGUUUUUGAAGUUUCAAAAGUAAAGGGUAACUCUGUCCGCUAGAUUUUUGAAAAAAGAAUCAUAAAUUAUAUUACUUAGAACAGCAUUUGAAUCAAUUUGAAUUGGAUCAUAUAUUUUAUAUGAUGAAUCAUUUUUGGUGAUGAAUGAUUAAUGAUUGAUUAAUAUUUUUUCUUAUGAUUAUGAUUACUGAUUAAUGAUUAGAUUGCAAAAACAGUGUGAUUAAGAUUAAUGAUUAAUGAUUAAAUGAGAUUUUUUUUGUGAUUAUGAUUAAUGAUUUUGAUUAAUCAUAAUCAUUAAUCAUUAAUCAUGAUUAAAUUUAUGAUUAAUCAUUAACGCUCUGGUCGUAACGCGCCGUUACAAUUGCCAUCGCCUACCCGUCAGCACUGUAAACGUAUGUUUCUUUUUCGAUUUUUUCCUUAUCAAAGAACCACCCUGGGCUUGCCGUUAUAUCACCGUUUCAUAUCGUAGCCCUUACUUAUCUCGGAAAGGAGAAACACUCAUACAUUCAUACAGAAGAAAAAUAGACAAUUUUUAUCACCGCGGCAAGCCGACCCACUACUAACCCCAAAAAAAAAGUCCUGAAAAGAAGCUUUUAUCGGUUAAUUUUUGUACAAUCGGAGAAGCAAGACACCGUCGUCGUCGAUUCCAAGCGGAACGCACGAUCGGUCACCGAACGAAGAAGAAAAGUUUAAUCGCAUAUAUUUAUAUCAGUAAAAUUUAUAACGAAAAAUUGAGAAAACAAAUCCGCUAUACACUCGUAUUUAAAAAUAAAGGUACCCGAUCUAAACAAAACGACUCAAGUAAGUAUUUACAACCUGAAUUCAAGUCCACGAGAACGAAACCGCUUCUGAUGGAUGACGCGGAAAGCUUCAGAACGAAAGCUGCAUUGGCAACACUGGCACUGGUGGUGGCGUAGCACUGCCACCAAUUUCAUACCGCCUAUACCUACUCUCUGACUGGUUUUAUGUUUAUAUGUAUAGGAAAAAUUUGUUACCAAGGAAAAAAGCCCAAAGCACCACCAAAAUAGGAUGUAUCGUCUUUAAGAAAAAAAUAAGGUAAACCAUUCGAACGCAUCAUACACACGCAUUACAAUAAUGUACUCAUACAGUUACAGUCCAGAAGAUUAAAAUCCCCCACACGUACACACAGGUCCCCUGGAUAUAUCGACGUUUGAUGUAAUCAAUGGAACAUAAUCGAACACAGAGCGCUACAUAGUCCGAUACACGCAUCCUAUGGUAGGCACAAACAAAACAUUCAGUUGAAGUUCCAACAGCGACGGCAUUGCGAAACCGAUCUCAGUCAUUUGAAUCAAGAGUUGCCAGUUUUCAAACUACGAGCAUGAAUUUCAACCAAUUUAGAUUUUGUUAUGCUUUCGAGGGCCAAAACAGUUACGAAGCAGUUAGAAAACCACGAUAGAACCCUGAAACGUGUUGCAGGGGCUUCGAUUAACUGGGAAGGGUUGCCAGUUGUUGCUUUUGGCAAGCAAAUUGGCAAUUAUGAUUGAGUGACAACUCGAUGGUGUUUCAAUGUAAGGAAACGUGAUUUUAGAUAUCGUGAUGUAGCCCACCACAACCUGAACAUGAGUCGUCACUGGCCUAGUCACGAUGUUUUUAUUUGGUUUUCAGGGAAAUCCCAAUAAAGUGUGAUUCAUAUUGCAAAACUUUUAGGAUGAUAUCCUAUCCUACAGGAUACUUUAUUUGAUUACUAGCAGAUUCGUUUAGCAGUCCUGAUCCCGAGCAGGAACGAAUAACUGACACAUAACUAGAGCAUACCAAAGUCAGGUAUAAUACCAAGACAAGGUAUUGGUUGGUUAUCCAGGUAUUGGAAAUAACUUAUUUUGGUAUUUUUUAGAUAUUGAUAGAAUACGUCAACGAGUUAUUGGUUUGGUGUUGAGGACUGUUUGAGGUAAUAUUCAGUUAUGGAAAAAUCAAUAUUUGUAUGGAAAAAUCGUCGAUUAUUAUUCAGGUAUUGCCAUACCUGACGUCAUUAUUCACGUGUUAUGUACAGAAUAUUCACCAGUUAUUAUUUUAGGUAUUUUACCUGUUAUGCAGGGCUACUAAAUACCUCAUUCAGGUUGUAGGUAUUCGGUUUUCCAUACCUGAGUUUGGUAUUCUUCAGCUAUUUUCUCCUGCUCGGGGUGUGAUGGUUAAAGCCCAUGCUAGUUAUAUCGAGGACUUGAGAUCGAAUCUCACACUACGUUGAACAGUAAGUUCGAAAGAGCAUCCCUAUGCUUCAGUUCGCCGGAAAACCAUGUUCGAUCAUAAUCUGCCAUAAUUUGUUUCUAUUCACUACUGAAUCGUACGCCACCUUGAAAUCGAUAAACAGAUGAUGGGUCUGCAAGUUGUUGGUCUCUUGAACGGUUUGUAGAGACUCGGGGACAGUCGGUUGUUGUCUCAAGGUUUCCUAUUCACUGUGAUGGGGCUGCCAUCUUAGGUAUAGGUUCCACCAGUAGCUGUUUGCCAACACAGACGAUGUUCUUGAUGAACAGACGCUAGGGACUUACCUCCUCAAUCUAGCUGAAGUCAGAAGGACAACAGUGCCCUACUCUUAACUGGCAGUUUUUGUCCCGUAGAAGCAUGAGGUAGGAACUUGUGCGAACCAGUGCUACGUUGGACGCAACUUCUUGAGUCACCAUUUUGCAGUCCGCAAGAUGUUCUCCUGAAAUUUACCGAGAAUCUGCCGCAGGGUGAACAUUUGAUCCGUCGUUGAUCGGCCCUCACGAAAACCCGCCUGAUAUUUACUGACGACCUCAGCCUGUUAAACUGAAUUCCGGACAAAACUUUGUACGCUGAUUUGAGAAGUGUUGUUCCUCUGUAAUUCGCGUACUCCAGUCGGUGUCCUUUUUUGUAUAUAGGGUUCCGCAGCCUGUCCGUCGUUGUCGAUUCGAAUUCUGUCUGUCGCUCUUCCAUUCCUACCGUUAAACAAUUCCUCGAAGUGCUCUCUCCUCCUGGUAGCCACCAUUGUUUUGUCUGCCAAUAUGUCUGUUGGACGAUACUUUGCGUAUUAAUCAGCCGUGUUUCACUGUAAAUUCCACUCGUGCUGGACAUUCUACGUGUAUGUGUAUUGUGUUACGUCUAGUAUUCGUCCGCAUCCCUGGCAAUAAUGAGGACGAGUACGUCCGAUUUUCAAACCAAGUCGAAGCUGCAACCUCUCUGAAGAUAUCUAGAACUACUUCAGAGCAAACACCAACCCCUCAUGCGUCCCUCAGUUGAUAUUAGGGAUGUCAUUAUUCCAGAGAUUUACAAAGGGAGGAUCGUCAACGUAAGAUUGCGCCACUUUCUAGGGCCCACGCUGUCUUAGUAAACAGGCCCUCCGCUACCAGAUGUACCAGUGACAGCAUUUCACACUGAACCAGUAGAAAGCACCUCAGCAAAUUCUGAAGGCCUCAUUGCACUGACGUUCUAGAAUUUCUAGCACCGCGGUGUGCUACCUCUGCACCGCAGCUCAGAUCCGUAAAGUAUGCUAGGGACACACAUUGCCCUAGUCGAAGUACCAAGAGAAGCUUCAGAGAAGCGUCCAUUCAAGGCCCGAAUAAUGUUCAAUCUGGCGUAACUGUAUCUCGUCUGGCAUACUUGUCAAAGGAUACUAGGGUCCCUAUGAGGUGAACUCCUGCGUUCAAACCUCUUAAACUGCGGUUACGUAGGAAGUUAGCUACGAAGUUAAACAUACGCCCUUGGAUAUCCCAUCUCUUGCGGGUUAUCAAUAUAGGAGGGACCAAACUAACAUUUUCAGCGCUAUAAGCUUCAGUCAUUUGCUUUCUGUUGUGUAACAAUCGAAUUGAAGCAGUCAACGCUGAAUAAAAGGGAAGCUAGUCAAAUAUAAACCAUAAGCUAGUACACGGCUGCAAAUCAAGCACCGUACGGCCAGCAAACUCGGUUUUCAGUCCGGGAGAUUUCUCGGAAGAUGUUAAAAUUUGAACAGAUCGAAUAACAAAACAGCUGCUCCUAUACAGUAAAACUGACAAAUUCACAAAACAGCAGCGCUUUGAAGGCCGUUAUGCGAUAUCAUUACAACUAGAAGCUGUAAUAAAGAAACUGUUGGUAUAAAUACAAACACGACUUGUCGGAUGUAAACAUUAUUGUCAAAACAAACUUCAAGCGGGAUAUAUAGCUACUACACAAAUACUUCACAGCUAUCCAUCCCUGUGCUGUGAAAUCAUUUGGGUUGCGUUUACUGCACUUUAAUCCAACUCCGGAAGAUUUGCCGGAAGAUGUGCAAAUCGAAUAAGAGUCCCACAGCUGCUUUUAUACAGUACGUUUUCUAAUUUUGCCAAAUACUCUAAACAGCAGUGCUUCGUAGCUGUUUAAAGAACAUUCUUUCAGCUUGAAGCUGUGACGGUGUUGGGGCAACCACACAGCUUGUUCAAUGUAAACACGGUAUCCAUAACCUAAUUAUAUGUAAACGAUUAUUUGAGGAUGCCGUAUAACUAUUAUUUAACAACUGUGAAAAAGCGCAUCUCAGAAGGGCUCCGGAAGCAAACAAGAAGAAUUCUGGAAGCAUCCCAGAACGAAUCUGGAAACAGCCCUGAAGGAUUCUGGAAGCCUCUCAUAAAAAAAAAUACAAGCACACCUAAAAGAUUCUGAAAGCAUUCAAUAAGCAAAUUUAGCAGCAUUCGAGAAGAUUUCUGGAAGCAUCCCAGGAGAAAGCUUCUCAUAUGAUAUUUGGAAUCAUCCAAAAAAAAAUUUCGGAAGUUACCAUAAAGAAUCUUGAAGCAUGCCAAAAAUUUCCUGGAAGCAUCUCAGCAAGAUUCUGGAAGCAUCCUAUAAGGCAUUUGGAAGCAUUCAAGAAGGAUUCCGGAAGCAAUACAGAAGAAUUCUGGAAGAACCCCAGAUGGAAUCUAGAAGCAUCAUAAAAUGAAUCUGGAAGCAUCAUAUAAGGAAUCGGGAAGCAUCCCAGAAGGGUUCCGGAUGCAAUCCUGAAGGAUUGUGGAAGCAUCCUAAGCAUCCUUGAAGGGCUCUGGAAGCUUCUCAUAAGGUAUUUGGAAACAUCCCAAAAUGAUUCCAGAAGCAACACAGAAGGUUGCUGGAAGCAAUCCUAAAGGAAUCUGGAGCCAACCCAGAAGAAUUCUGAAAGCAUCCCUUAAGAAGUGAUCUGGAACCAUCCCAGAAGAAUUCUGGAAGCAUCCUAUAAUGAGUUUGGAAGCUUUCGGAUUCUGUUUUUGUCACUGUGCAGUGUCAUGGCGGAGGGCGCAGUUGAACUCGUUCAAACCGAAAUCCUGGGGCCUGGUGCGUUACAUAGGGUCCGAGGGGGCUUAAGGGGGAUUUUGAAGGUAUUUCAGGACGUUUCAGAGUAUUUCUGCGGAAUUAAGAGGCGUUACGAAAGCGUUACGGAGGAGUUUUCGGAGGGUUUGGAGCCUCUCAGGUGCGUUACAUAGGGUCCGAGGGGGUUUAAGGGGGAUUUUGAAGGCAUUUCAGGACGUUUCAGAGCAUUUCUGCGGAAAUAAGAGGCGUUACGAAAGCGUUACGGAGGAGUUUUCGCAGGGUUUGGAGCCUCUCAGGUGCGUUACACGGGGUCCAAGUGGUUUUAAGAGGGAUUUUGAAGACAUUUCAGGACGUUUCAGAGCAUUUUCUGCGGGUUUAAGAAGCGUUACGAAAGCGUUAUGGAGGAGUUUCUGGGGGGUUUAAAGCCCUCAUGUGCGUUACAUAGGGUCCGAUGGGGUCUAAGGGGGAUUUUGGAGGUAUUUCAGGACGUUUCAGAGCCUGUUAGGUAGGAUUCAGAGACGUUACGGAGGAGUUUUCGGGGGGUUUGGAGCUUAUCAGAUGCGUUACAUGAGGUCCGAGGGGGUUUAAGGGAGAUUUAAGAGGCAUUUCAAGACGUAUCAGAGCAUUUUAGGAGGAUUCAGAGGCGUUACGGAGGAGUUCUCAGGGGUUUCGAAGCCUCUCUGGUGCAUUACAUGGGGUCCCCAGGGGGUUUAACGGGGAAUUUUUAGGCAUUUCAGGAAGCUUCAGAGCAGACUCUGAAAUACCUUAAAACGCCCCUCAAACCUCUUUCAACGCCCUUUGAAGGCUCCUGAGAUCCCUUGGAUUGCCCCUAAAGCCCCUUGGAACGCCCCUGAAACUCACUCAAUACUAUUGAAAUACCCCGAAACUCCCCGUAAUCCCAUGAAAACACCAAAAAUUUUGACAGAACACCCUUAAAAGGCUCCUCAAGUCCCCCAAAACAACCCCUUAAAACGCCCCUGAAGCCCCUUGGAACCCCCUUUUUUGGGCUCUCUGGGAACCUUCUUGAAACCCCCUUAGCCCCACCUCAACUGCCCAGGAGCAAGACAUGUUCUCGCGAACUAGAUUCUCUAAUUAAAGCCUAAACUUAAUUUAUGCAUAAAUUUCCCUCUUUUUAUGCCUUUUUUAAUUUAUGCACAUUUUUAAUUUAUGCAAUCCCAGCCAUGUGCAUAAAAAGAGGUUCCAGUGUAGUAGGUAGCCUAUUAUUGGACAAACGUCGCUUUCGUCUUCAAUUGAAUAGCAGAACUUCACUUACGCCAAUGACUUGGCAUGCAGAUAAGCAAAGGCCUCAACGACAGUAACCUUAACAUUGGUAAAACUGUUCUUUACUCUUAGUUUUUUCACAGCAUGUAUGUUCUCCCCACGGAUAGAAUUGACCUUCCUCCAUAGUCCCGCCAAACUAGUGGUCACAGUAAUCUUCGCUGUGAAGGCAACUCAUGUACCCUUUUUAGUAUCAUAGAUGACCUUCCUAGUACUGGUACGCACAAAACGUCCGAAUCGCCAAAACAGGAAUACUUUUUGUCAUCAUGUUUGCGUGCUGAUCAAGUGUUGUUAGGUACUGCAGUACGAUCACUUUCUGUUGAAUCAGAUCUCGGAGAUAAUGGAACUCAGCAUUCACAAGUUUUAGACGUCCGAAGUCCUUGGAUUCCUCAGCAAUGCGCAUCGAAGACUGAGCUGAUUAUUCUCGAAGAAUACAACGGGAUCUCGAUCAUAACAACGGUCACGAAUCAGGCUCAUCAACCACUGCUCGUGACAACCCGUUACACAUAGUGUCGCCAGUUCUGCUUCAUUCGAACAGAGAGACACAGAUUGCUGCUUCCGUGUAAUCCAUACUGUCGUACAACCAAACACUUUAAAAAAAGAAACACGGUUAGUAGCCUAUUGGCAACAUCGUUGACCCAAUCUGCAUCACAAUAUACUUCUACCGCUACAGCAUUCAGGGUCAGUUGAUAAAAUAGGCUCACGUCCAACGAUCCCUUAAAGUAACGUAAAAUUUGCUUCAGAUAUUCCCAAUUAAGAUCCGUCGGGCAGCUCUGAUACUGGCUGAAAAAGUUUACCGAAGCAACCAAGUUCAGCCUUGUAGUCAUGGCUGCGUAGGUUUAACAUCCAAUCAUUGGCUUCCUAUAGGGCACUGCAUGAAAUUCUCUCCUUCUUUUUCACUUUUUUAGAAAUUUUGUAAACAACAUGGCCAAGAAACGUCAAAAUCCCGUACCAAAUCAAAACAAUACAGUGCCCGUGGUUCGGCUCUUUUCCUCACCAUGGUGGAGCUUCAGCCGAUUCUCCAUGGAGGUCAAAAUUGGUUAGCAAUCGACCUGCAGAUAUUGCUUCUGGCUUAUACGCAUCGAACCGCUUUUCACAUGUCGAUCAAUGCGCAAUUCAUUCUUCGUCAGACUCCGAUCCUCUAAGGCGUCUUUCCACUUCGUGUCAUUUCGGUGAGCACUGCUGACGCUGCUCCCUUGGUUCAUCCCGAAAUCCUUCACUUGCAUUGUCUUCUGCCUCCGUCGCAGCAUCACUAUUCCCACGAAAACUGUUAAACUCGUCCACUGAUUCUUCAUCUGAUACUUCUUCAACACAAGAUAGCCGUUUUGACCACAGCCAGUAAAGAUUCCUCGUUCGAUAUGUGCACAAAUACACUACAUCCAAACGUACGUAACUUCGAAAUAUUCGGCUUUUUGAUUUCCCACACUCCACGGAGUAACUCCAGAUUGGGUCGCAGUUGACGGGCCUUGAUUCCGUUUGUAAGCCGCCGUUUACACUGCCUGACCCCAAAACCGCUUACUGAUUCGAACAUCAUAGAACGAGCCUUCUCAACAAGAGUGCGGUUCAUCCGCUCGGCCACCCCGUUCUGCUUGGACGACUUUGCAGCCUACUGUUGUUAUGGUUAGCUUGGGUUGGCAGUCUGUGACCAGCUAGGGACUUAAGCCUGGAACGCAAACGUAUGUAUUGUGUGGGGCACUUUAGUCUUAACGGAAUAAACGUAUGACUUUCCCUCGCUUCUCUCGCUAUUUCUCUCGGAAUGAGAGCCUAAGGUCAAUCUGUUACUUGAGAUCAUUCGCUAUCCGCUUGUAGGAAGGGCACUCACGGUUGGUAGGCUAAUGAUUGCCACGGCGCGGCAGUUAGAGCAGGUAGUCUUUGCUCUACAUUUGCCUUCACAGGCGGGGUCGCCAAAUAAAACUGGACUAGCUCCCCUUCCUACUGUGCCCGUAACAGUUGUUUGGGGUAGCAGAGCCUUCAACUUCAACUUCUACCCCAUUGGACACUACGUGGUGACCUGCUUUAGCUUUGUAACCUUAGCAGGAUCUCUUCACAUGGGCGGUGAUAGUUGGCCAAGCAAUUUGUUGAAGUGAUUUGGCCAGAUGAAAAGGUCCCUAACUACGUUGUUACCUCCAAUGGCUCUCUCCUAGAGAACAAGAGUCACUUUGGUCACACGGUUAUUUUUCGGUAGGGUCCGCGUGUCCUGCACGCACCUCUUUCAUUGUGUUACAAUACAAACUCUUACGGGACGGCAAAGACCCACUCGUGUUGAAGCCGCCGGGAUCGAGCUUCCGCAUUGCUACAUAACUUCUAAACGUACACGCCGUGGAUACCUCAGCAAUACACCAUCCACUUAUCUACAGCCAUUUGGGCUUCGCGGUCCGUUAGACAGUUAGUAUACACCAGAAAAGCCUGAGCACCGCACUGCUCGGUUCUGGUCCCAAGACGGGACUAGACACUCAGACUUUCGGAGCAUCCCCUUCUCGUUCGCAUGGGAGUUCAGGUAUCCAGAAUCACAAACCAACCGAUCCUCCGUGGAGAACCGGACACGAGCCGUCUAUCUGUUAGGGCUGUUUUCUUUGCCAACUGCAGUACGAGACGAAACUGUGGUAAGGAACCACCGCACUGCAUUACAGUGGAUUCCUCUACAUUCUUCCAGCAACCUUCUGGGAAAUUUCUUCAGAAAGUCUUUCAGAAGCUCCUACAGGGGUUAAGUCUACGAUUUCUUUAACUUCCUUCUUGAGAACUAUCCUGGGAUUUGUUUUUGGAAUUUCCUCAAGAACUUUUAAAGGACUCUCAUAAGGAAUUCUUAAAACAAAAAGAAACCCCAGAAAGAUUCCACAAAAAGGAACUCGAGAAAAACUCCCAGAAGAAUUCCAGAAAGCCUCAAACUAAGAACUCCUGGAGAAUUCGCAGAACAAAAAAGUUGAUAGAAGAUUCUCAUUGGAAACUCCAAAAGGAGCUCCUGAGAGAUUCCUAGAAAACACUCCUGGAUGACUCUCAAAAGAAACAUCUGUUUGGGCUUCCACAACCCAAGUAACAUUUAUGGUUUUGUUCUGCUCUAUAAGAGAUCUUCAUGCCCAAUUUUAUAAAACUUGCAAUAAAACUGAUUUAUACAUCAAAACCUCUUGAUAACCUCUUUAAGAGCAUCUUCCGGCUAAGUGGACCACUCUCGGAGAGGUUUUGCAAACCACAAUAAGAGUAGCAAUAAAACUGUUUUAAAACUUAGUUGAAAAAUUUUCCAUUCACGAAAACAGGUUAUGAUGAUUGUUGGUGUUUUUUUCAACAAAAACUAUGACACCUCAAGAUGCAGAAAAGUUUCUUCGAUGGCAAGUAAAAUUCAGGAGCACACAUCAUUCGUAAGUAGAAAGCGACCAUUUCAAAGUAAUAUUUUAGUUGCAGAAACAUGCGCUUCAAAAAUAAUGAAUAUUAUCAUCUUGGAAUGAAAUAAAUCAAUUUGUUUAUUUAGUAAAACUAUCUCGAAUCGCAAGAAAACUCAGCUGAAAGAGUUUAUUUAUGUGAGCAUGUUAUGGAAACGACGGCAAACUCAAUCAAUUCAUUGCUUAUUUGAGCAAAAUUAACUAUUUUCCAUUCACGUCAACUAAUUCUUCAAUAUGACGACGACCAAAAUUAGCGAAAAUAAUACGAAAGCAAGUUUACUUUUAUGAUGACCGCAAUAAACCUAGCAGUGUCGUAGUUUCUGCUUUUCCACCAAAAGAUGUCGUUUCUAAUCAAACGGAUCGCCAUCUGUUGAGAAUUUGAACAGUUUUAUUGUGGUAAUAAUGAAUGCCAGAAGGUUCACAUAUCGGAGAGUUUUGUUUACUCUUAAAAUCUGGCUUUAUGAAUAUCUUAAAGUAUUCUAUAAAACAUUUCACCAAAGGUUUUCAUAAAAGUAGUCAUAAAACUGUGAGUUUUGAUUAUUGCUGUGAUAAAACCCUAAUAAAAAUCAAACAAAACCAAUCAGCGAUGGAAUUGUUACUUGGGAAGGUAUUGUUUCAGGAUUUCAAGAAAAAUAAAUCUGGAGGGUUCCCAGAAAGAACUCCUGGAAGGUUCCCAAAAUCCUUGAAAAUUACCAGAAAUAGCUUCUGGAGGAUUGCCAGAAGGAAAUCCUGCAUGAAAUUCUGAAGAAAUUACGAAGACAAUUCUUGGGGAAUCCAGCAGAAGUUCCUGGAGUAACACAAGAAAGAAGUUUUAGAUGAAUUUAAAAAAAUCUGAGAAAUUAAAAAAAAAACGCUGGAACUUUUGGAAUUUCAGCAUGAAAAUCUGGGUGAACCUUAAAAGAUUUCAAGACUAUUACUUGGUUAAAACCUAGCUAAAUUCCAAAAACAUUCUAGUAGGAAUCUAAGAAGGACUUUCUUGUGGAUUCUAAAGGAAUUCCGGAAGAAAAUCGGAAUGAAAUUCGUGAAGAAAUCUCAGAAGAAACUCAUAGAGGGAUUCCUGGUGGAACUCUAAACAUAAAUCCCAAAGAAAUUCCUAGAGAAUCUCCGGAGUGAUUUCUGGUGGACUUACCGAAGAAACCCCGGGGGAAGUUUUAAGAGAAUCCUCUGCUAAAUCCACACAAAAUUCUUACGAAAUGCCAAAGGAUUUUCUUAACAAGUUUCAACAAAUUUCAAUAAAUUAUUAAGGCUUAAUUCUGAAGGAAUUUCAUAGAAAGCGAAAAAGCUACAAGAUUAUCUACAGGAAUCACAGGAAUAUGCUAAGAGGAAUCUUAGGAGAAGUGUCAGAAUGAACCCCUCGAGGAAUACCAGAACCAGCUCUGGAGGAAUUACUAAAUAUCACCUAGGAGAAGUAAGGCUUACCUGAAAGAAUCUUGGAAAAAGCUUCUCCAGGAAUCAACAAAGUAGUUCCUGGAUGAAUCUCAAAAGAAACUCAUAGAGGAAUUCAAGGUGGAACUACUGAGAAACUACUGGAGAAAUUUAGGAUGCAAAAUGUGGGUGAAUUAUUCUAGUAGAAACCUUCAAAAAAAUCUUUUCAACGUAUUGCGCAAGACAUUCAACUCCAUCUGCAGGUUAUGGGCCCAGUUUCCUUUCAACAACAUCAUUAUUCACUGGUCACCACAAGGUCAUAACAGCCAGAAGUAUCAUCUUGUUGUCACUCACGAUCGAAUGCCGCUGUGAUACUUUUUUAUACUAUUUAGUUGAAAAAACUUAAAUCACAACAUCACAACAUUAAAGAACUGCUGCAACAUGGUAAGGGCAAAAGCUUCUAAUUUUGAAACGCGUAAAGAAAUAAACGUAAACAUGAUAAUCGGAUAAUUUGCGAUAGAGAGAGAAACGUGAAACAUAAACAUAAAGCAUAUCAUUACGAUGGACAUUACGAAAAAAACCUAACUAAAGAGAGAGAAACUACCACACUCAUACACACAUACAAGUUAAUUACAUACACGCUAAAGGCUAAGUUCGUCGAAGCAAAAAACCUAAAACAAAAUCAAAUAUUUUUUGAUAUCGAUUUACACUAUCUUUGAACCAAUCAGAAUCAAUUGAAUCCAAGCGGAAAUCCCCCUAGGAAAACAAUGAAUGCACUUUUCGCGCACACAAACAAAAGACACUCAGUAAAAUUCACGCACUGUUUUCAGUUGAUCCGGAGAAGUAAGCAGCAACAAUUCUAACAAAACCAAACGUCUAAACACCGAAAACCAAAUAGCCAAAAAUGACUCAAAGCUUUUCAAAGAUUGUUUUUUGGAAUGAUUUUCAGCCCAAAAACGAAACGCAACGCGCCGUAACAAUCGAACCAAGACAAACGCAACUGUUUAGAAUUUUUUGACGGACGCUUUUCCUAUAUAAGACACGCGCCAAAGCAUCAGCAAUACACACUUACACCCACUGAGAAAAAGCGCCACCUAUAGUUUGGUUCGUAACAGCGGCAGCACCACCAAAAGAAAACAGAACACGAAUCGUCUUAUGAUUAAUUGAAAAAAAUGGUGAUACAAACAUACAUUACGUACAGACGCGACAUCUACAUUCAUAGACACACACACAUACACGCAAACAUAACUCUGUAUUUAUCACAAUUUGGGGAUUUUUCCCGCUUCGAAACGAGAGACACCUACCGGUGAGGCGACAGAGCAGCACCAGUAAAACCAAUACAAUACCAAAAUACCACAAGAUGUAAUUAGAUCAGAAGGAGCGCGACGAAACACAAGUAUUAAUUCUAUUGGAGAAAAACAAGAAAAAAAAAGUUAAGAAAACAAACUGAGUAGCUGUAUUUAGAGUAAAAACUAAACAACCGCGUAAACACAAGUAUCGACAGUAAUCAAGGGGCGCGGAUGAGCAUGAGGAGCGAGAUAGGGUGGGAAGAGGGGGUACGGGGUAUUUUAUAUAUAUUGAUGCUGAUCAGCAUGUGGUGUUAGAUACUUGGUAAAGCGCGUGGAAGACGGUAGCCUAUGAUUAUAUAGUUAAUUUUUAAAAAUGCGGUUAUCAUAUAUAGGACAAUUCAUGAAACCUCGAAUCAGUUCUUUGGUAGGAAACGACAAUUCGUUUGACACACGAACAUACACAAACACACGUUUUAGUGUAAACAAAGCAUUCCCAGAGUUAGUAAAAAAGCAUUGUUUCGACUAUCGUUUCUCCAAUUUUGAUCAAUCGAGUCCUUGGAAAAAAAUGUAAAAACUCGAAAAAAAAAUCGAGUUUAGUAAAUACACACGUAAACAACCAACAACUAGCUUUUGAUAACGUGAUUCAUGAACUAUUGUCCUUUCAGUUCACUACCAGUAGCAGUAAAAACGCAGAUGGCCAUGUAAAAACGCACGGUUUAUGAAACACAACAAAGUUGACGCUUUUGCGCGCCUGUCAAUGCGUUGCGCGUUGCCACGGCUAUACCAACUCUACUCACGCAGCGCCAUCUGUACGUCGUUUCGGUUUACCCAAUCGGUUGGCUUUUGACGUUUCACUCACGCACGGUUUUCGGCUUACGUUUUUUUGUUGAUCUUGAAUUUUCCACAGUGGAUUUCAGUUGCGUAGCGAAUUUGAAGUAGCAACAUUCAAAAAAGCGGUUCAUGAAUUUAUGAAAAUGGAAUUUCAAGAAAUAAGUACACAAAAUAUCAUUGCAAUAUGAAACCAACUAAACAUAGAAUGAAAAUCACUUUGUAAGUAAAAGUAAACACACGAAGAAACGCUAGAAUAAACAAUUGCAACCAUCAUUGAAUAUACACAAACACACACUGAAAACUAAAUACCAUGAAAAUAUAAAAGACCUAUGUAACAGCAAGCGCCCUGUCAAAAAAAAUCGAUUAAAAAAUGUUCAUCUCACUAUAAUUCAACACGGUUCCACAAGAAACCACAAAUCCGUGAGAAAGAAAAAAAAACAUUCGUCUAGUUGUAUUCAAAAUAAACGAUACUAAUUGUUGAUCCAUUCCUGUAUUCUUUAUCGAUGAUUGAAUCAGACAAAAUCAAAUUCCUUUUCCCAUUAUUUAUGUUUUUCUCUAAGAAAAAAAAGUCAAAUAUUUACUACAAAACCGUCAUUGAUUGUUGAUUAUUUAUCCAAGAAAAAUUAGAAAAAAAAAAAGAUCAAGCAACCUUCUCCUUAGAAAUGAAAUUGCUCCUUCUUGAAACCCAAGUCAUCAAGUAAGAUACUACAAAUAGUCUAAUGUAAUCACUGAAAACAGAAAACUUAUACACUCACAGUCAUCAUAGCGGAACAAACACACUCACACGAACACAUACGCAUAUUGAUCAAACUAAAACAAAACAAACAAGUAAGAUAAACAAACAGAACUUAUAUCAUCCAGAAACAUGAUUUCAGCUCUUUCCUCGAAUCACUUUCUCACACAAUCACAAACGAAAACGAAAUACUGAUUUACUAUCUCUCUCACUCUCUGUAACAAAGUCACGCAAAAGCACUCCUGUAAUAUCCCCUCUUUCUCUUUCAAAGACAUUAAUAUGCAUGUGUAAACAAUGGCAAAACAAACGCAAAAGAAAAACAAACCCAGAAGCUAGAUGUUGAACAACGCGAAAGGCGACCGUAUGUACCAAUAAUCAGUGUAAAACAGAGAUAAACGGAAAUUCCCCAUAACGAACAAAUAACUAAAGCAUUCACAAAAAAAACAUACAUACACACAUGAAAAAACAGCACCUGCUCGUUCAUAAACGAUUAGCGGUAAAAUUCAAAACAAAAACGAACGAAAACCCAUUAUCAACUGUGCAAUCGUGAUCACGAUACGAAACAAACAAAAAACGAGAGGAAUGUGCGUGAACGUUUAGCGACUAAACAAAAAAAAUACUCUGAUUCCACCACUGCCACAAUCGAUAAGAAGAGGGGUAAAUGAGACACACACACAAAGAAAUAUGAGGGAGAUGAAUAAGGUACGCACGCGCACUACUGGGCGAAACACGAACAACAAAAACCAACCACAAACAGGGGAUUAUAACUAAAAAAAACAGAAACGAAAAUCGCAUUUGCAACAACAACAGCGUAGAUUGAACCAAACGAAUAAACAAUAGUUGCAGACACACGAUAAACACAGACAAACACACUCGAACACGAAAUUAUAACAAAAACAGGAGGUGCAGUGCGAACAAGACAAAAAAACACAGGAAUGCAAUAUAAGCCACACACACAAACACAAAACAA
Aedes albopictus (Asian tiger mosquito) is the source of this 25865-nucleotide long non-coding RNA. RefSeq lists it as uncharacterized. The record is from RefSeq and is a predicted model, not a curated record. Lineage: Eukaryota; Metazoa; Arthropoda; Insecta; Diptera; Culicidae. The transcript is spliced from 2 exons.